Long non-coding RNA from Bombus pyrosoma, 1804 nucleotides. RefSeq lists it as uncharacterized. The record is from RefSeq and is a predicted model, not a curated record. NCBI's taxonomy places the organism in Eukaryota, Metazoa, Arthropoda, Insecta, Hymenoptera, Apidae. The transcript has 4 exons.
UCGAGCUGGGACAGUGGGAUGGGAUAUGAUUGCCUUCUCGUAUUGCCGUGGCUUGAGACAUGGACUCUCGGAAGAAAAGAGGAAGAGAGACCGAGCAAAAUGAUCCGAGAGGUUCCGAGGUGUUGGAAAGGCACGAUGAAAGACAUAUGAGGAUUCCAGCGGCGAGAUAGGAUAUGCCUGCCGACUAUGUUACAGCGAAAAUCUUUUGAGGUUCACCUUAUGCGUACUACUCCUCUUUUACUGUAGUUUUUUCGCAGAAUUGACAAGUAUCGAAUAGUGCCGAGAGAAUUCUGUAAAAACAUUGACUCGUUCAUUUAUUUGAAUAGCAUUAGUGUAAUUGAUCAUGAUUUUAUGUUAUAUUAAUUGUUAUACAAAAUUUUAUAAAUAGAAUACACAUAUAUAUAUAUAUAGAUGAAGACACAUCUCAGCUAUAAAAUAACGAAAGCUCACGAAGUUUAACAUAAAGCUUAAACGAAAGAUUGAGAUUCUUCGAAAGUUUGUGGAGCACGUGGUUCUGUCAACUUCGAACGUAAGAAAGACGUCCCUCUAUUUACGACAUAAGUGGCUGGUUGAAAGUAAAGCGCAGUUCUUGUUGAAGGUUUAAAAACCGUUUGGUUAUAUCAAACUGCAUGGAAACUAUAAAAGCCCUGGCAGUCGUUGCACGUAUACGCAGUAUUCCCUCUGGUAGCUAGCGAUGACGGAUUCAUAGCCCGUGGGAUAACGCAAGACCUCACCCCAAGAUGUUUCGGUUUACGGAUGCACGCUCUUCCUUGCUUUUUCUUCCUAUUUCUCGCCUUUUUUUCUUCUAUCUACUGAGCGAUUCAUUUGUCGGUCUUUGAUCCGAGACCAACAAGCUACUACCGGAAAAUUAGCGAAAUUUAUUAAGCAGUCGCUUUCUCUAGACUGCUAUCUGUCAUUUUAUUCUCCUUAUUUCUAGCGCAACCUGUCGUUUCAUCUUAUACGGGAUAUCAUUCAGUGGAUAGAAUCUUUGUUCAAAGAUACCGUAUUUGGAUAGUCGAAGGAUAAGUGACAAAUUCCAGACAAAUACCUCGUUGGGAGUCCUUUCUUUCUUUUUUUAAGAUAGGACGCAAAAUUUAUAUAGAUCCAUGAAUAUUACAAAGUUAAAACAUAUUCAUAGCUAUAUUUAUUAACCGAUGAAUUAUCAUUAUAACGUCGCCGGUGUCCCGCUUAUCGAGAAAGGCGUCCUUUCAAGUUUCUGAAAGGUAGAUCUUCGAGAACAGCUGGUUCUCGCGAACAGCGGUGCCACCAGCAGCGCAAUGUCAACUAACCCCGUUAAGGGUUAGGGGUUAACUUCCACAGGGCUAGUACCUACGAGGAAGAUGAAAGAAUGAGCGAAGAUAGGCCGACGGCCGCCCCUUUUUAUUACCGGCGCCGUCACGCGUCACCGAUAAGCGCGGUCUCUCUGUAGACGAAAAGUCUAUGCUUGCACCGGUUCUCUCGAAACAUGAGAUUUCAUCUUCUCUUCUUUACUUCUGCUUUUGCCAUCUCUAGUUGAAAGUUUCAUUUUUUAUGAACAUAUGUCGAGAAUCUUGGAACGCUAUCUGCUUCUUUUCGACAAGGAGUAAUAGAAACGUGUUAAGAAUGUAACGACUGGCUGAUCAUCUGUUUCUUUAUGUUUUACUCUGGCUAGAAAGGAGCAUCGGGUUAAAAAUCAAAGAAGGAAGAAACUGCAAAGGUUUCUGAUCUUAUUUUUAUUCAUUGCGGAAACAUGUGCGGGUCAUGAAUGACUGCAAAACGUUUUGUGAAUGCACGAGGGAGGAUGUUCACCGAAAGUCAUUAAGGA